Molecule: ribosomal RNA, 429 nt
Filed under: Bacteroidota bacterium
Lineage: Bacteria; Pseudomonadati; Bacteroidota
Description: Bacteroidetes bacterium partial 16S ribosomal RNA
Rfam family: Bacterial small subunit ribosomal RNA
Source: RNAcentral
UAGGGAAUCUUCCGCAAUGGACGCAAGUCUGACGGAGCAACGCCGCGUGAGUGAAGAAGGAUUUCGGUUCGUAAAACUCUGUUGUUAGAGAAGAACAGCGCAUAGAGUAACUGUUAUGCGUGUGACGGUAUCUAACCAGAAAGCCACGGCUAACUACGUGCCAGCAGCCGCGGUAAUACGUAGGUGGCAAGCGUUGUCCGGACUUAUUGGGCGUAAAGCGAGCGCAGGCGGUCAAUUAAGUCUGAUGUGAAAGCCCCCGGCUCAACCGGGGAGGGUCAUUGGAAACUGGUUGACUGGAGUGCAGAAGAGGAGAGUGGAAUUCCAUGUGUAGCGGUGAAAUGCGUAGGUAUAUGGAGAAACACCGGUGGCGAAAGCGGCUCUCUGGUCUGUAACUGACGCUGAGGCUCGAAAGCGUGGGGAGCGAACAGG